GACGAACGCUGGCAGCGUGCUUAACACAUGCAAGUCGAACGGAAAGGCCCUGCUUUUGUGGGGUGCUCGAGUGGCGAACGGGUGAGUAACACGUGAGUAACCUGCCCUUGACUUUGGGAUAACUUCAGGAAACUGGGGCUAAUACCGGAUAGGAGCUCCUGCUGCAUGGUGGGGGUUGGAAAGUUUCGGCGGUUGGGGAUGGACUCGCGGCUUAUCAGCUUGUUGGUGGGGUAGUGGCUUACCAAGGCUUUGACGGGUAGCCGGCCUGAGAGGGUGACCGGCCACAUUGGGACUGAGAUACGGCCCAGACUCCUACGGGAGGCAGCAGUGGGGAAUAUUGCACAAUGGGCGGAAGCCUAAUGCAGCAACGCCGCGUGCGGGAUGACGGCCUUCGGGUUGUAAACCGCUUUCGCCUGUGACGAAGCGUGAGUGACGGUAAUGGGUAAAGAAGCACCGGCUAACUACGUG
This 468-nucleotide ribosomal RNA is filed under the name uncultured bacterium. RNAcentral's name for it is "partial 16S ribosomal RNA". It matches the Rfam family "Bacterial small subunit ribosomal RNA", at positions 28 to 507 of the family's 1533-position model. The record is from RNAcentral.